GAUGAACGCUGGCGGCGUGCCUAAUACAUGCAAGUCGAGCGAACAGAUGAGGAGCUUGCUCCUCUGACGUUAGCGGCGGACGGGUGAGUAACACGUGGAUAACCUACCUAUAAGACUGGGAUAACUUCGGGAAACCGGAGCUAAUACCGGAUAAUAUAUUGAACCGCAUGGUUCAAUAGUGAAAGACGGUUUUGCUGUCACUUAUAGAUGGAUCCGCGCCGCAUUAGAUAGUUGGUAAGGUAACGGCUUACCAAGGCAACGAUGCGUAGCCGACCUGAGAGGGUGAUCGGCCACACUGGAACUGAGACACGGUCCAGACUCCUACGGGAGGCAGCAGUAGGGAAUCUUCCGCAAUGGGCGAAAGCCUGACGGAGCAACGCCGCGUGAGUGAUGAAGGUCUUCGGAUCGUAAAACUCUGUUAUUAGGGAAGAACAAAUGUGUAAGUAACUAUGCACGUCUUGACGGUACCUAAUCAGAAAGCCACGGCUAACUACGUG
This 497-nucleotide ribosomal RNA is filed under the name uncultured bacterium. Its description in RNAcentral is "partial 16S ribosomal RNA". It matches the Rfam family "Bacterial small subunit ribosomal RNA", at positions 28 to 507 of the family's 1533-position model. The record is from RNAcentral.